This is a non-coding RNA of Xyrichtys novacula (pearly razorfish), 1330 nucleotides long. The record is from the annotation of a GenBank genome assembly. NCBI's taxonomy places the organism in Eukaryota, Metazoa, Chordata, Actinopteri, Labriformes, Labridae.
UGACGUUUAGCAAAUUUGUAUUACUUUAAAUUACCAGCAGGUGGCACUGCCCAAUACCAGUAUUUGCUGCACAUGCAAAAAGUAGAUCGUGAGUGCUCAUGCAUUUACAUAUGAUAAAAAAGAAUUAAAUAUACAGUAUAUAUUAAAAGAUUUACAGGCUUAAAACAGUAAAGAAUUUGGCUUCUCUACUUUUACACAUAACUUUCCCUGUUAAAGUCAUUUUUCAAGGGGAAUCUGUUUUCAAAGGUCCUCCAGAGUGAGGUGUGAGAGUAAUAAACAAGCAGGUGUCAGUGUCUGUCACAGCCAAGGAGACCAAAAACAGACAGAACUCCCCAACCCCCCCACCAGAACCUAAAGGUAUAGUUUUGCACCUGGUCUCAUCUCUUGCUGUGGUUGUAAAUUCACCAGCUGUGAUUAGAGUUCACACAUUUGAACGUCGAACUCCUCUGAAAAGAAAGUGCAAAAGGCAGGACAGUUUAUAGGCAUUGUCACUCUUCUCUCUCUUUACACCACCAUCUAAGAAUAAUCAUCAUGGCUGAGCUGGCCUUAAGAGCUGGCUGUUACCCAGAGGGCCACCCGAAACUGUGUCAGUACGCUUAUUUAUGGCAGCAAAUAUAGACAGACCCCUUUUCUCACCUCUGAGAAAGAACUAAGAUUAGCAUCACCCUCUGCCCAGCAUGUAUCACCGUCCGAAUUUAGCCCGUUCCCCUUCUCAUGCCUGCCCGAUCUCACUCUGUCUGUCCUCUGGCCUGCCCCAAACUAUAUCUGUCCCAGUCUUGGCAAAGGUCUGCAGACCCUCUCCAGUGUCAGACCAAAUUUCAGCUUUCAUGGUUUGCAAAGUGACUGACCACCAGCACUAUAAAAGCCAGAGUAUCUGAGGUCUACCUAGCCAUUCCUGGUGCUAGUCAAUGGUUUCAUAGUCAGUGUGUUUAUUACAUCUCAUUUGUCGGUGUCAAUGCAAAACAGUUCAAAGUUUUAAAGAACUAAAACACAAUAAGCACAAAUACUUCAAAAUUGUCAAAAACAUCAAAUAAUCAAAAAAAUCUUUUAACUAAGAACUAACUUGGUUUUAACUCCAUUUAGCCCCCUGUAUAAUUAAAUUAUUGGCUUCUGUAAUAAUGCCUUACAGUGAUGAAUUACCACUUUUUUUAUUUGACUGUUUUUGUUUGCGAUGAAACUGUCUGCUGCUAGGAUAAACCAUGCAGGCCAUAAUACUACAGAAAACAGAUUGUAAACACAUCCUGCUGCCUAUUGUUUUAUUUCAAUUUUACAUACAACAGAAUUAAUCUGCUAUUUCUAUAUUGAGCUAUCUACAACCUUAAGUGAAUGU